This 475-nucleotide ribosomal RNA is filed under the name uncultured bacterium. RNAcentral's name for it is "bacterial SSU rRNA". It matches the Rfam family "Bacterial small subunit ribosomal RNA", at positions 21 to 507 of the family's 1533-position model. The record is from RNAcentral.
GGCUCAGGAUGAACGCUAGCGGCAGGCCUAAUACAUGCAAGACUAGGGGGCAGCAAUGUCACCGUCGCACGGGUGCGUAACGCGUAUGCAACCUACCUAUCACAGGGGGAUAGCCUUUGGAAACAGGGAUUAAUACCGCAUAAAGCAGGGGCUCCGCAUGGAGAUAUUGCUAAAGAUUUAUCGGUGAUAGAUGGGCAUGCGUCUGAUUAGUUAGAUGGUGGGGUAACGGCCUACCAUGGCGAUGAUCAGUAGGGGGCGUCAGAGCGUGGUCCCCCACACUGGCACUGAGAUACGGGCCAGACUCCUACGGGAGGCAGCAGUAGGGAAUAUUGGGCAAUGGAUGCAAGUCUGACCCAGCCAUGCCGCGUGAAGGAAGAAGGUCCUCUGGAUUGUAAACUUCUUUUAUCGGGGAAGAAGAAUCGCCUUGCGAGGUGAAGUGACGGUACCCGAUGAAUAAGCCACGGCUAACUACGUG